UAUCAGAGGGCUCUAGAACAGUAGAGAGACAUCAGAGGGCACUAGAACAGUAGAGAGAUAUCAGAGGGCUCUAGAACAGUAGAGAGACAUCAGGGGGCUCUAGAACAGUAGCGAGAUAUCAGAAGGCUCUAGAACAGUAGAGAGAUAUCAGAGGGCUCUACAACAGUAGAGAGAUAUCAGAGGGCUCUAGAACAGUAGAGGGAUAUCAGAGGGCUCUAGAACAGUAGAGGGAUAUCAGAGGGCUCUAGAACAGUAGAGAGAUAUCAGAGGGCUCUAGAACAGUAGAGGGAUAUCAGAGGGCUCUAGAACAGUAGCGAGAUAUCAGAGGGCUCUAGAACAGUAGAGGGAUAUCAGAGGGCUCUAGAACAGUAGCGAGAUAUCAGAGGGCUCUAGAACAGUAGAGGGAUAUCAGAGGGCUCUAGAACAGUAGUGAGAUAUCAGAGGGCUCUAGAACAGUAGAGGGCUCUAGAACAGUAGAGAGAUAUCAGAGGGCUCUAGAACAGCAGCGAGAUAUCAGAGGGCUCUAGAACAGUAGCGAGAUAUCAGAGGGCUCUAGAACAGUAGCGAGAUAUCAGAGGGCUCUAGAACUGUAGCGAGAUAUCAGAGGACUCUAGAACAGUAGCGGGAUAUCAGAGGGCUCUAGAACAGUAGAGAGCUAUCAGAGGGCUCUAGAACAGUAGAGAGAUAUCAGAGGGCUAAGGAAUAAAGAACCUUAAGCAGCAAUAUCUCUAUUCCAACAACUCAGGAACCCUCUGAAUUUAAAGGUUAUAGUGUAAUUUGGAUGAACUAUCCCUUUAAGCAAACAGCAAACACAAAGUGAUAGCCUCCCUAUGUACAAGAGAGUCAUUGGAGGCUGGUCAAGGGAGGACGGCUCAUAAUAAUGGCUGGAAUGGAAUAGAUGGAACGGAGUCAAACACUGGGAAGAAACCAAGUCUAGAUGUGUUUGAUGCCUGUCUAUUCAUUCCAGCCAUUACUAUGAGUCCCUCCUCAGAUUCAAGGUGGCACCAGCCACCACUGAUAAGUGUACUGACUGAGACCUUUUAAAGAGGAGCAACUGACUGAGACCUUUUAAAGAGGAACAACUGACUGAGACCUUUUAAAGAGGAACAACUGACUGAGACCUUUUAAAGAGGAACAACUGACUGAGACCUUUUAAAGAGGAGCAACUGACUGAGACCUUUAAAGAGGAGCAACUGACCGAGAUCUUUAAAGAGGAGCAACUGACUGAGACCUUUUAAAGAGGAACAACUGACUGAGACCUUUUAAAGAGGAGCAACUGACUGAGACCUUUUAAAGAGGAACAACUGACUGAGACCUUUUAAAGAGGAGCAACUGACUGAGACCUUUUAAAGAGGAACAACUGACUGAGACCUUUUAAAGAGGAACAACUGACUGAGACCUUUUAAAGAGGAACAACUGACUGAGACCUUUUAAAGAGGAACAACUGACUGAGACCUUUUAAAGAGGAACAACUGACUGAGACCUUUUAAAGAGGAACAGCUGACUGAGACCUUUUAAAGAGGAGCAACUGACUGAGACCUUUUAAAGAGGAGCAACUGACCGAGAUCUUUAAAGAGGAACAACUGACUGAGACCUUUUAAAGAGGAACAACUGACUGAG
Molecule: long non-coding RNA, 1620 nt
Organism: Oncorhynchus tshawytscha (Chinook salmon)
Lineage: Eukaryota; Metazoa; Chordata; Actinopteri; Salmoniformes; Salmonidae
Source: Ensembl